Non-coding RNA from Prolemur simus (greater bamboo lemur), 182 nucleotides. The record is from Ensembl. Lineage: Eukaryota; Metazoa; Chordata; Mammalia; Primates; Lemuridae.
CAGCAAGCUGAUAGCUGUGCAGUUUCAUAAGCAGACAUGAAAAUAUCUCACCAAAGAGGAUGGUUGGUUUAUGAUGUGUUGUGAUAGCUGGGUUUAAGAAGUGCAAUACUAAAACAAAAACAUGAGUCUUCUAAGCCUAGUGUGUAAAGCUAUACUAUGAAUUAUAACUCAAAGGCACAACU